RNAcentral lists this ribosomal RNA (576 nucleotides) under Streptomyces sp. Its description in RNAcentral is "partial 23S ribosomal RNA". It matches the Rfam family "Bacterial large subunit ribosomal RNA", at positions 1014 to 1601 of the family's 2925-position model. The record is from RNAcentral. Lineage: Bacteria; Bacillati; Actinomycetota; Actinomycetes; Kitasatosporales; Streptomycetaceae.
AGAGGGAAACAGCCCAGAGCAUCGACUAAGGCCCCUAAGCGUACGCUAAGUGGGAAAGGAUGUGGAGUCGCACAGACAACCAGGAGGUUGGCUUAGAAGCAGCCACCCUUGAAAGAGUGCGUAAUAGCUCACUGGUCUAGUGAUUCCGCGCCGACAAUGUAGCGGGGCUCAAGCGUACCGCCGAAGUCGUGUCAUUGCAGCAGAUAGCCCCAACGGGUGCUGUGAUGGGUAGGGGAGCGUCGUCUGCCGGGUGAAGCAGCCGCGGAAGCGAGUUGUGGACGGUUGACGAGUGAGAAUGCAGGCAUGAGUAGCGAUUCACACGUGAGAAACGUGUGCGCCGAUUGACUAAGGGUUCCUGGGUCAAGCUGAUCUGCCCAGGGUAAGUCGGGACCUAAGGCGAGGCCGACAGGCGUAGUCGAUGGAUAACCGGUUGAUAUUCCGGUACCCGCUGUGAAGCGUCAAACAUCGAAUCCAGUGAUGCUAAGCCCGUGAAGCCGCCGGCUGAGUCUUCGGACGAGGUCGGAGUGGUGGAGCCGGUGACCCGAGCUGGUAGUAGGUGAGUGAUGGGGUGACGCA